UGCCAGCCGCCGCGGUAAUACGGAGGGGGUUAGCGUUGUUCGGAAUUAUUGGGCGUAAAGGGCAUGUAGGCGGAUCUGCAAGCUUGGUGUGAAAUGUCAAGGCUUAACUUUGGCACUGCAUUGAGAACUGGCAGUCUUGAGUCCUGGAGAGGAGAGCGGAAUUCCUAGUGUAGAGGUGAAAUUCGUAGAUAUUAGGAGGAACACCAGCGGCGAAAGCGGCUCUCUGGACAGUGACUGACGCUGAGGCACGAAAGCAUAGGUAGCAAACAGGAUUAGAUA
This 279-nucleotide ribosomal RNA is filed under the name uncultured bacterium. RNAcentral's name for it is "partial 16S ribosomal RNA". It matches the Rfam family "Bacterial small subunit ribosomal RNA", at positions 506 to 784 of the family's 1533-position model. The record is from RNAcentral.